AAUCUUGGGCAAUGGGCGAAAGCCUGACCCAGCGACGCCGCGUGGGGGAAGAAGGCCUUCGGGUCGUAAACCCCUGUUCUGGGGGAAGAACCCUGAGCGGGUUAAUAGCCCGUUCAGGCUGACGGUACCCCAGGAGAAAGCCACGGCUAACUGCGUGCCAGCAGCCGCGGUAAUAA
Molecule: ribosomal RNA, 176 nt
Filed under: Caldimicrobium sp. 21
Lineage: Bacteria; Pseudomonadati; Thermodesulfobacteriota; Thermodesulfobacteria; Thermodesulfobacteriales; Thermodesulfobacteriaceae
Description: partial 16S ribosomal RNA
Rfam family: Bacterial small subunit ribosomal RNA
Source: RNAcentral